UUUUUUUAUCAGUUCUAUAGGAAUGCUUUUAUCGUAGAAUUUAUAUGUUACUUUAAAAAAUUUUGCGUUUGAUAAAUAAACGAGUGUUCCCUGCUUCCCUUUUUCUUUUUCUAUAUAAAGGAGUGUGUGGGUUUCAUUUGCUCCAUACCAUCUUUCAAUUCUCUCCCUUCUCUCUAGAAGUUCAUCAUCUCUCUUAGAAGAGCUUGCUUUUUUUAGUCGCCGAUCCAUUUUUGAUGAGGUGAUGUUUUAAAGGUAUUUAUUACUUGAUCUAUUUUUUGGAUUUCUUGUUGCUUUCAUUUUGUACUUUUCGUGGUUUUGGUGCUUAAGUUGGAGAAACUAUUCCACUUUUCGGUUGAAGGAAGAAACAUCUAUAUUUUGUUAGUUUAUGGUUUUCAAGAUCAUUCUUUCGAGUUUUUAGAUUUUUGGUCGUAUGAAGGAGUUUUGCAGUAGUUUUUGAGUUUUCGAUCCGGCCGUGGAGGAGGAUUUUUUGGGUUUUCAGCUAUGGAAAAGGGUUUUCAAGUUUUCGAGUGCAAGGGAGUCUGUUGGUAGCUUUUGGAUUUUCAGUUCGGUCAUGGAAGAAUGUUUUGGGGUUUUCGGCCUAUUAGGAUUUGGGUUUUUAGCUUGAGCUUUAGGAGGCGUGGUGGUGUUUUCAAUUUUUGGCAUUUUGGUGUGGGACCUAUGCACCUUUUGGUUUUUCAAUCUUCCUUUGGCAUGUUGCUUUUGCAGGUUUUCAGUGCUUAGGUGUGGGACCUUGGCACCUUUUGGGUUUUCGAUCUUCUUCAGUGGAGUGUUGCUUUGCCAGCUUUCGAUUCUUUGGUGUGGGACGCUUUU
This 831-nucleotide long non-coding RNA is filed under the name Manihot esculenta (cassava). RNAcentral's name for it is "long non-coding RNA (MESC_LNC001747)". Lineage: Eukaryota; Viridiplantae; Streptophyta; Magnoliopsida; Malpighiales; Euphorbiaceae. The record is from RNAcentral.